UGUAAUCACAUAUAUGCUUUAUACAAUCUAUGUAGGACGUAUUUUGUAUAAUCCAAAAAACGAUGUAUUUUAUAUAAUCGUUGUAUGAUCUACUUUAUGUGAUCAUAGAUAUGAGAUAUUUUGUAGAAUUCUAUGAUGAUGUAUUUUACGGAUGAGAUGUGUAUGAGAAGAGUCAUAUUAGACUCGAAACGUUUUUCUCUCGCUGCCAGACCUGGCGAGUUUCUCCAGCAGUUUCUGUUUUCAUUGCAAAGUUUCACAGUUUGAGAGUAUUUGCUGCUGUCGCACUGUUGAACCAAGACUUUCGUUUCACGGGCAUGAGGAUAACAGUGAGCCAUAAAUUUUCAAUAUUACUUUGCGGGAACUGUUUACUUGCGAAAGUGUUGGGAACGAAGUGAGAAUAUCUCCGGGUAGGGGCAGAGCCAAUAGUGUGUCAAAGUUCCCACUCACCACAGGUACCAAGUUAAUAGCAACCCCACAUUUUCGAGGCAGAGAACCGGUCCGAACCCAACUGACCCGCAGUUAAUUACGAGAAGGUUGCAAGUUAUAAAUAAUCUGGUUAUUGCUGGUAAGAGCUCGCUAUCCGCAGGACAGAUAGUCUUUCAGUCAGGGUAGAAGUCACAUGGAGGGAGGUUACUGUAAAUCACAUCGCAGCCCUGUGAUGUUAUCGCCGGCUGUACCGAGUGAGUUAUUGACCUGUCAUUCACCACCAAGUGGUGAAGCUAACCCCGCCUGGCCCUGGGAAAAAUCCACGUGGAAAGCGCGGGGAUUUAUGAGGCGAGUGGCGACCAUCGCUCACAGCCCAGCCAUUACCCCAUCAGCGAGCUUCCCCCCAUGGGUCACUGAGACCGACUGAGAACUGCCUGCAACUUUCCUCAAAUUCGAGGUGGACACCAGACUCCAGACAGAGACAAUGUCCGAAGGGAGAGUGACUUCAAUACAAAAAUUGCAGCGUCAUUUCAGUGUGAGUUGGUCAAGUUUGACAAGAGUGUGGGCUCAGAAUCUCAGGUGUUCCAGGAUUUCAAUGUGAAACUCCAACCGCUUCUCCUACCCCAACAAUGAGUGAACUAUUAUCUCUCUCUCUCUCCACUGCUGUGCAUAUUUGAACCAGUUUUCCAAUUUCUCCUCAAAUUCCACCCAGACCCGAGUUACCAACCUAUUCAGUGAAAUGAAUGAUGUGAAUAAUACGGUUUUCACAAUGGAAUAAUUAAUUUGCUCCAACUAUUAAAACAAGAGAGAAUGAUGAAGUGACUUGAAUGGGAGCCUCGGAGGAGCCUCAUUGUUUGUCCUUUAAUGAGCUUUUUGGUAAAUGGCGGGGAAAAUAUUGUCCUGUUUCUCUGUAAUAUGAUCGAGGUAAAAGUGUAUUAAGAGUCGAAAUCCCCCAGCGCAAUGCGUUCGGAAAAGGCUCCCGCCCAUUAUUUGCGAGGGUUUGUGUCUUUGCUUCAGUUUAUAGUUGAUUAGAGUCGACACUGCUGGAACUACACACACUACCAUGAUAUGGGGCAGGUAGAUUCUAAUGAGCUGCCGAGUGAUAAAUUUCAUAAUUAUUCUACCCACUGCUAACAGAAAAUUCAUCAGUCAAGGCAAAUUAGUUCAGAUUCAUUAGAAUAAGGAAUCUAACGGGCACAUAUACUUUAUUAGUUUACACCAAUAGGUUUAAUUAGCUACAUAUUUCACAGCUACAGUACUGUUCCUGCUUGCUCUUAAGGAAGGGACUGCUUUAUGUCUUUUAUUUACAGUAACAAGCUAUCAGGGCCCACGUUAACCCCGUCAUUAAUUCUGAAAGACGAGAUAGGUUUGCUUUAUUAACCAGAGUCCCGUCAGGUCUUCCCUCGUCUCUGAACUGGGCAACUGUUAUUUUCUCCCCUCUCGCUUUCUAGUCGCCCACCUUUCCACCUACCCCCCACCCCCACCCCCGCCCCAAAUUAAUUCGGCUGACUAAA
Non-coding RNA from Chiloscyllium plagiosum (whitespotted bambooshark), 1940 nucleotides. Lineage: Eukaryota; Metazoa; Chordata; Chondrichthyes; Orectolobiformes; Hemiscylliidae. The record is from RefSeq and is a predicted model, not a curated record.